CUGUUUGUACAUUCUUAAAUAAUUUUCUAUACACAGGAGCAGUGCCAGUCACAUUAGAUAUAGCACAGGAUCUCCUCAGAGCUGCAGAUUGGUAUUUGUUAAGAGGGGCUAAACCGUUUAUACAGGUACACCGUUGCAGAGGUGAGCAAAGUUCAGUUUGAUCCGUCUGUUCGUUGUUUUUUCAAGAUGGUUUUAUCGUCCUAAUGAUAAUUAUUCUGACUAGAGUAUAUCAUUGGACAAUGUCGCGAACAUGACUGUUACAGGCCUUUCAUGCUCUUUCAUUAAGACAUAGAUACAUAAAGUUUAUUUUGGAGUAGGUUGGUAAAUUGAGUUAUAAGAGAGGGUAGGCUUCUUCCUCCGGCUCGAUAAAAUUUUAGAAUAUGGCAGUCAGUUGAAAAGCAUAAUCAUGAGUCCUGACAGAUUUCCAUUGGGAAAUAGAUUCCAAUUUGGUGGACAAUAUUGUGUUUCUUUAAAAAAUUAAUCAAGAGGAAAUGUAAAGCAACAUGUGGAAUUUGUAUUUAGGCCCCUAGGAAAAGGAUUUCAAGCUUUACUUGACGAAGAUAUCUUAUGUGGAUUAGAUAGCUAAUGUCUAAUUUUUAAGUUUUCUUUAAUGUGCAGGAUUUCUUUGUUCUAUGUUGUGUAUAUCUCAUUGCCGAAGAAAUAAUGAAAGUUGGCUUCGUAUCUCAUUGCCGAAGAAAUCUUUGCAAUAAAAGACAACAGAUUCGUUGGUGUUCCAUAUAGACAACACAAUGAGGCUUCAGGGUUAGGAAUUGGUGAAGUUGUAGUGCAUGAGGAUACUGUCAAAUCAUUUUCUGGUAAUGGUGUUGAGUCAUCUUUGGAUGUACGGACAAUCUGAUAAGCUGGUAAAUUUUUAAUGUUAUCUUAGAAUCAUGUUUGCUUUCUUUCUAUAUUUAGGUGGAGAGGGGUGGGGAUGUAUGCUGAUGCCUUUGGGAAAAAAAUGUGAUGCAUGAUAGUCUCAGCAUUGUAUCGUUUUGGUAUAUAAAGACUGGGUUAUUUUUUUGAAAAGGAUUUUAUCCAUGACCUUACCAUCGAUGUGUGAAUAUAAUAUGGCUAUAGGUACGUAGUAGCUUAAUAUUGGAUUCAAAUGAAACUGUUUUACUUCCUCUGAUUUUGCUGUAUCAGAGAUUCCUUUCUGUCUUUCAAGUCAAAGAAGGAAAAAGAAAAUGAAAAAAAGAUUAUAUGGAGUGGGAAAUGGGAUAAACAAACAACCCCAGCUCAUUGCAUAUAUUCUUCAACGCAACUCACUUCUGGUUUCAAAUUUGGAGUGUGAACAGUGGACAGGAACAGCCACUACAAAUCAUACUGAGAAUCAAAGCGAAUACGCAAUUUUAGGAAGAUUAUAUAACUUAUAACCCACGAUCUCAUUUUCACAUCUUAGUUUGGAGAAAAAUAUUUCUGCUCAAUAAAAUGAAUCAGCAGAAAUUCCAAAACCAAAAAAUUGGAAUUAGCACUUUCAAAAGAUGCAAAUCCUUGGCUAAAAUGGACUCCAAUGCUUCACCAAUAUUUAAUCGAAGCGGUUACUGAGGAGGGACGGAAAUAGGUUUAGUGGCUCUCUCUGUUGAGUUAUGUAAAUUUGUAUUGCUUUUAAUAAACUAUUAAUCCUUUUAUUGUUUUGAUGUAGGGAGGAGCAACACCAAAAAGUCUGAUGAGGAUGAUGGGUAUUACUUACCAGAUUGACUUGGUACCAUCUGAAGAGUCAUUUAAAGAAUUACAUGCAUUAUUAUUUUUUUGUAGAGUUUUUUGUUUCAUCUAUUUUUCCAUACAAAAUAUAUUCUUUGUAAAAAUGAAUCGAUAUCUUUUAUACAAAAAUAUAGGCCUGUGAAGAGUCAAUGGUCAAGAUCCUGCAUUUUGAUAAUGAGUAAGAAGGUGAGAUACUUUUCUAAUGCAAAGUUUGUGGGGCAUUUCUCUAAUUGAUGGUAUUUAUGAGAAAUUUGUUAAAUGUAGAUAACAUAGAAAGUGAGAUUGAAGGUGGCCAUAUGAAUGGGAAGCCGGGAAGGUAGACGAUAGAAUACACACAAAGCAAU
Molecule: long non-coding RNA, 2045 nt
Filed under: Aquilegia coerulea
Lineage: Eukaryota; Viridiplantae; Streptophyta; Magnoliopsida; Ranunculales; Ranunculaceae
Description: long non-coding RNA (ACOE_LNC002282)
Source: RNAcentral